This 245-nucleotide ribosomal RNA is filed under the name uncultured bacterium. RNAcentral's name for it is "partial 16S ribosomal RNA". It matches the Rfam family "Bacterial small subunit ribosomal RNA", at positions 528 to 772 of the family's 1533-position model. The record is from RNAcentral.
UAGGGGGCAAGCGUUAUCCGGAAUUACUGGGCGUAAAGGGAGCGUAGACGGUCAUGUAAGUCUGGAGUGAAAGGCGGGGGCCCAACCCCCGGACUGCUCUGGAAACUAUGAGACUGGAGUGCAGGGGAGGUGAGCGGAAUUCCUAGUGUGGCGGUGAAAUGCGUAGAUAUUAGGAGGAACACCAGUGGCGAAGGCGGCUCACUGGACUGUAACUGACGUUGAGGCUCGAAAGCGUGGGGAGCAAA